UACUAACAAGUUAUUUUUUAUCUUUGUAUUCCGAUACAAAACGACUUAGCUGAGGAAGAGCUAAACCAGUACCGUUUCCGUUAAGAAGUCAAAACGUUUGUGAUAAUUGGAUUAGUGGUAGUACAUCUCUGACAACUAAUGUAAAGUGUGAACGAUAGUGUUGUACUGUAUCAUUGGUUCACUUUGGGCAAUGGUAAUCAAGAGUGUAUCUAUGUUUCAGAAAAAUAGAGAAAGAGAGACAGAGAUAGAAAUUUUUUUCUCUCUAGAGUCUCUCCCCCAAAUACCUUUUAACCCUUGCGCCGCCAACAUCUGAUCUCUGUUCCGUUGGAGGAGAUCGACGGUAAGCUUGCUGUACUGGUCUUCUUCGCCACCCCAGCUUCUCUUGUCCUCUCUUUUGCCUCUCUCUAACAUCUUUCUCCUUUCCAUCUUCUCCAUAUGCUUUUCUCCUCUUGACUUCUCCGGUUCGCAAGUGACUUAACAACGGCAAGGCGGGCAUCCGUCAAACUGCUGGAAGAAAAGAGAGGUGUAGCAAGCCGAAGCGAUUGGUAGAGCCAGUAGUGUAAACUUUAUUUUACAUAAACCGCAAGAUCUUUAACAUUUAGACUAAUCACAUAAUAGAUUUAUAAGAAGGAUUUGUGGAUACCUCGAUUCAUGGUUGCGGAAAUUUUCUUGAACGGUUUUGAUCAUGGUUGAUAAUUUCUUGAUCUUUAAGUUGGAGUUAAGUCUUCUUUCCCUUUGCCUACAGCCUAUGUAUUUCCAUUUAU
RNAcentral lists this long non-coding RNA (764 nucleotides) under Brassica napus (rape). RNAcentral describes it as "long non-coding RNA (BNAP_LNC026063)". The record is from RNAcentral. Lineage: Eukaryota; Viridiplantae; Streptophyta; Magnoliopsida; Brassicales; Brassicaceae.